RNAcentral lists this ribosomal RNA (715 nucleotides) under uncultured Lautropia sp. RNAcentral's name for it is "bacterial SSU rRNA". It matches the Rfam family "Bacterial small subunit ribosomal RNA", at positions 54 to 766 of the family's 1533-position model. The record is from RNAcentral. Lineage: Bacteria; Pseudomonadati; Pseudomonadota; Betaproteobacteria; Burkholderiales; Burkholderiaceae.
CAUGCAAGUCGAGCGGCAGCGCGGGGCAACCUGGCGGCGAGCGGCGAACGGGUGAGUAAUACAUCGGAACGUGCCCAGACGUGGGGGAUAGCCCGGCGAAAGCCGGAUUAAUACCGCAUGAGAUCUGAGGAUGAAAGCAGGGGACCUUCGGGCCUUGCGCGUUUGGAGCGGCCGAUGGCAGAUUAGGUAGUUGGUGAGGUAAAGGCUUACCAAGCCUGCGAUCUGUAGCUGGUCUGAGAGGAUGAUCAGCCACACUGGGACUGAGACACGGCCCAGACUCCUACGGGAGGCAGCAGUGGGGAAUUUUGGACAAUGGGCGCAAGCCUGAUCCAGCCAUUCCGCGUGCAGGAUGAAGGCCCUCGGGUUGUAAACUGCUUUUGUACAGAACGAAAAGGGCCUGGCUAAUAUCUAGGUCUCAUGACGGUACUGUAAGAAUAAGCACCGGCUAACUACGUGCCAGCAGCCGCGGUAAUACGUAGGGUGCGAGCGUUAAUCGGAAUUACUGGGCGUAAAGCGUGCGCAGGCGGUUUCGUAAGACCGAUGUGAAAUCCCCGGGCUCAACCUGGGAACUGCAUUGGUGACUGCGAAACUGGAGUGCGGCAGAGGGAGAUGGAAUUCCGCGUGUAGCAGUGAAAUGCGUAGAUAUGCGGAGGAACGCCGAUGGCGAAGGCAGCCUCCUGGGCCUGCACUGACGCUCAUGCACGAAAGCGUGGGG